Molecule: ribosomal RNA, 432 nt
Filed under: uncultured bacterium
Lineage: Bacteria
Description: bacterial SSU rRNA
Rfam family: Bacterial small subunit ribosomal RNA
Source: RNAcentral
AGAGUUUGAUCCUGGCUCAGGGUGAAUGCUGGCGGCGUGGAUAAGUCAUGCAAGUCAAGGGGGCCCGCAAGGGCAACCGGCAGACGAGGUAGUAACACGUAGGUAGAUCCCCCGAAGUCGGGCAUAGCCAUCCGAAAGGAUGGGUAAUUCCCGAUAGUCCCGCAAGGGUAAAGGUUUUUCGCUUCGGGAGUUGCCUGCGUAGUAUCAGCUAGUUGGUAGGGUAACGGCCUACCAAGGCUACGACGCUUAGGGGAGCUGAGAGGCUGACCCCCACCGACGGAACUGCGACACGGUCCAUACUCCUACGGGAGGCUGCAGACGAGAAUAUUCCGCAAUGGGCGAAAGCCUGACGGAGCGACGCCGCGUGAUGGAUGAAGUGCCUUGGUACGUAAACAUCUUUUAUCGGGGACGAAGUUUAUUGACGGUACCCGA